This 504-nucleotide ribosomal RNA is filed under the name uncultured bacterium. Its description in RNAcentral is "bacterial SSU rRNA". It matches the Rfam family "Bacterial small subunit ribosomal RNA", at positions 29 to 518 of the family's 1533-position model. The record is from RNAcentral.
AUGAACGCUGGCGGCGUGCUUAACACAUGCAAGUCGAACGAAGCAUCUGCCCGAGAAAUGGAGUGCUGCACAAAGUGGAUCAAUGAGAUGACUGAGUGGCGGACGGGUGAGUAACGCGUGGGAAACCUGCCCUAUACAGGGGGAUAACAGUUGGAAACGACUGCUAAUACCGCAUAAGCGCACGGAACCGCAUGGUUUUGUGUGAAAAAACUCCGGUGGUAUAGGGAUGGGUCCCGCGUCUGAUUAGCUAGUUGGUGAGGUAACGGCCCACCAAGGCGACGAUCAGUAGCCGACCUGAGAGGGUGACCGGCCACAUUGGGACUGAGACACGGCCCAAACUCCUACGGGAGGCAGCAGUGGGGAAUAUUGCACAAUGGGCGAAAGCCUGAUGCAGCCGACGCCGCGUGAGUGAAGAAGUAUUUCGGUAUGUAAAGCUCUAUCAGCAGGGAAGAUAAUGACGGUACCUGGCUAAGAAGCACCGGCUAAAUACGUGCCAGCCGCUGC